GACGAACGCUGGCGGCGUGCUUAACACAUGCAAGUCGAACGGAAAGGCCUGCUUUCCCUUGUGGAUUGCGGGUACUCGAGUGGCGAACGGGUGAGUAACACGUGAGUGAUCUGCCCCCAACUUGGGUAUAAGCCUGGGAAACUGGGUCUAAUUCCCGAUAGGACUGCAGGGUGGUGCCUGUGGUGGAAAACGAUUUUCUAGUGGUUGGGGAUGAGCUCGCGGCCUAUCAGCUUGUUGGUGGGGUAAUGGCCUACCAAGGCGGCGACGGGUAGCCGGCCGGAGAGGGUGGACGGCCACAUUGGGACUGAGAUACGGCCCAGACUCCUACGGGAGGCAGCAGUGGGGAAUAUUGCAAAAUGGGCGGAAGCCUGAUGCAGCGACGCCGCGGGGGGGAUGACGGCCUUCGGGUUGUAAACUCCUUUCGACCGCGAGGAAGCCACCUGGUUGGAAGGGUGGUGACGGUAGUGGUAGAAGAAGCACCGGCUAACUACGUG
Molecule: ribosomal RNA, 494 nt
Filed under: uncultured bacterium
Lineage: Bacteria
Description: partial 16S ribosomal RNA
Rfam family: Bacterial small subunit ribosomal RNA
Source: RNAcentral